RNAcentral lists this ribosomal RNA (727 nucleotides) under Salmonella enterica. RNAcentral describes it as "partial 23S ribosomal RNA". It matches the Rfam family "Bacterial large subunit ribosomal RNA", at positions 2076 to 2802 of the family's 2925-position model. The record is from RNAcentral. Lineage: Bacteria; Pseudomonadati; Pseudomonadota; Gammaproteobacteria; Enterobacterales; Enterobacteriaceae. RNAcentral also lists the same sequence under 1 other name.
CAAGACGGAAAGACCCCGUGAACCUUUACUAUAGCUUGACACUGAACAUUGAGCCUUGAUGUGUAGGAUAGGUGGGAGGCUUUGAAGUGUGGACGCCAGUCUGCAUGGAGCCGACCUUGAAAUACCACCCUUUAAUGUUUGAUGUUCUAACGUGGACCCGUAAUCCGGGUUGCGGACAGUGUCUGGUGGGUAGUUUGACUGGGGCGGUCUCCUCCUAAAGAGUAACGGAGGAGCACGAAGGUUGGCUAAUCCUGGUCGGACAUCAGGAGGUUAGUGCAAUGGCAUAAGCCAGCUUGACUGCGAGCGUGACGGCGCGAGCAGGUGCGAAAGCAGGUCAUAGUGAUCCGGUGGUUCUGAAUGGAAGGGCCAUCGCUCAACGGAUAAAAGGUACUCCGGGGAUAACAGGCUGAUACCGCCCAAGAGUUCAUAUCGACGGCGGUGUUUGGCACCUCGAUGUCGGCUCAUCACAUCCUGGGGCUGAAGUAGGUCCCAAGGGUAUGGCUGUUCGCCAUUUAAAGUGGUACGCGAGCUGGGUUUAGAACGUCGUGAGACAGUUCGGUCCCUAUCUGCCGUGGGCGCUGGAGAACUGAGGGGGGCUGCUCCUAGUACGAGAGGACCGGAGUGGACGCAUCACUGGUGUUCGGGUUGUCAUGCCAAUGGCACUGCCCGGUAGCUAAAUGCGGAAGAGAUAAGUGCUGAAAGCAUCUAAGCACGAAACUUGCCCCGA